Molecule: ribosomal RNA, 323 nt
Filed under: uncultured Cercomonas
Lineage: Eukaryota; Cercozoa; Cercomonadida; Cercomonadidae
Description: SSU rRNA
Rfam family: Eukaryotic small subunit ribosomal RNA (bases 62-323)
Source: RNAcentral
GAUUUCUGGUUCGGCGCACUUGGCCCGUCUCGGUUUACGGGAUUGUGUGCCGGUGUGCGCCAUCCAUCCUUCGAGAGAACACUUCUACCCUUCACUGGGUCGGGAGUGCUAUCUCGAUCUUUUACUUUGAAAAAAUUAGAGUGUUUAAAGCAGGCUUGCGCUAUGAAUACAUUAGCAUGGAAUAAUAAUUUAGGACUUUGGUCUUAUUUUGUUGGUUUCUAGGACUAAAGUAAUGAUUGAUAGGGAUAGUUGGGGGUGCUAGUAUUGGCCGGUCAGAGGUGAAAUUCUUGGAUUCGGUCAAGACUAACUUAUGCGAAAGCAUU